This 565-nucleotide ribosomal RNA is filed under the name Coleoptera sp. NZAC 03009244. RNAcentral's name for it is "eukaryotic LSU rRNA". It matches the Rfam family "Eukaryotic large subunit ribosomal RNA", at positions 601 to 842 of the family's 3401-position model. The record is from RNAcentral. Lineage: Eukaryota; Metazoa; Arthropoda; Insecta; Coleoptera.
UCCGAACCGUCGUCGAACGCGUGCACUUCUCCCCCUGUAGGACGUCGCGAUCCGUUGGGCGCAGGCCUAAGGCCCCCGGUGGAGUCCGUCCGGACACGGCUUGCCGUUCCGGACGAACCCGAGGUGUUUCCCGGCCUGCUCGCUCGACGGUAUACAGAUGGCGCGGGGCCGCUACCUUUUCAAGUUAGCGUCCGACCCGCGGCAAGCGCGCCCGUCGUGUCGGUGAUCGGACCUGGUGCCGGUCCCGACCGCGGGUGGCUGUUCGCUGCGGUGCUCUCGGACAGACCUCGAUGAAACGCCGAUCUGCGACGCUAUAGCUUUGGGUACUUUCAGGACCCGUCUUGAAACACGGACCAAGGAGUCUAGCAUGUGCGCGAGUCAUUGGGAUCUCGAUAGACCUAAAGGCGCAAUGAAAGUGAAGGCCCGCCUUGCGCGGGCCAAGGGAGGAUGGGUGAAGGUCUCGGCCGACACCCCGCACUCCCGGGGCGUCUCGUUCUCAUUGCGAGAAGAGGCGCACCAAGAGCGUACACGCUGGGACCCGAAAGAUGGUGAACUAUGCCUGGUC